CAUUUUCUUGUAAACAUUAGCAGCAUCCCUGUACCUCCCAUUACGCGCAAACGCAGUAAUUAAAGAAGUAUAUGCAUAAACAUCGAUACCAAAACCAUCUUUAUGCAAAUUAUGAAGCAACGAUGAUGCCACUGAAAUCCUACCCUCUUUCCCCAGCAUGCUUAUAACCACAGCAAUAACAGACCCAUUUAACAAAUCCCCCGAAUCGGGUCGAUUUCGAGCCCAUUCAAACACAUUCAACGCCAAGUCACAUUUUUUAUAGUAACCUAAACCUUUAAUAAUACCCAAAAUAUCAAAACUCAAUGACUCUGUUUCUAAUUCAGAACUUUCUAAACGAUGCUCAGUAUAUAAACCGAGCAAAAUUUGGUUAAUAUUGUGGAGUUGAAAUUCCGGGUCAAUUAGGGUUUGAAGAGUUUUCUCACCGUGAUAGGAGAGGCGAUGAGGAUACCAUGGUUUGCCCCUGUUGGUAUCAUGCUCCUUGCCAAUAAUACGCCGUCGAGUUCUGGGGAUAGGAGAAGGGUAAAUUGGGGAUUGAGGAAUCUGAGUAGAAUUAGAAGUGGAAGUUGAAGUAGAAGGAAAGUUAGGAGAAGAGUUGGGAUUUUGGUGGUGAAAGAGGUCAUUUAGGAAUGGAGCUAAAGGUUGAGAGGUGGAGGUAGAAUUAGAAGUGGAAGUAGAAGUAGAAGGAAAGUUAGGAGAAGUGUUGGGAUUUUGGUGGUGAAAGAGGUCAUUUAGGAAUGGAGCUAAAGGUUGAGUGGUGGAGUUAGAGAAGUGGGGGUGUGAGUCUUGGAAGAUAGAUUUUGAGGGUGGAGGGUUUGGUAGAAGAAGAGGGAGAGCUAAUUUGUCCGCCAUGAAACACAAUUCAGAUCUUGUGUUACUGAUAUCUUGUUUCUAUUUUGGAGGCUGAUACCUCACUAGACUUGCAAUGGUAACCAGUUAUGGUGUGUUCCUCAGAUAUUUUCUUAUUUAUUUAAAAACUGAGUUCUUUUCUAAUCAAUUAACUUUUUCCACAUAUGU
Molecule: long non-coding RNA, 1014 nt
Filed under: Nicotiana benthamiana
Lineage: Eukaryota; Viridiplantae; Streptophyta; Magnoliopsida; Solanales; Solanaceae
Description: long non-coding RNA (NBEN_LNC042025)
Source: RNAcentral